CUCGUAGGCGGCUUGUCGCGUCGGAUGUGAAAGCCCGAGGCUUAACCUCGGGUCUGCAUUCGAUACGGGCAGGCUAGAGUGUGGUAGGGGAGAUCGGAAUUCCUGGUGUAGCGGUGAAAUGCGCAGAUAUCAGGAGGAACACCGGUGGCGAAGGCGGAUCUCUGGGCCAUUACUGACGCUGAGGAGCGAAAGCGUGGGGAGCGAACA
RNAcentral lists this ribosomal RNA (207 nucleotides) under uncultured bacterium. Its description in RNAcentral is "partial 16S ribosomal RNA". It matches the Rfam family "Bacterial small subunit ribosomal RNA", at positions 568 to 774 of the family's 1533-position model. The record is from RNAcentral.